GUCCACGCCGUAAACGAUGAGUGCUAGGUGCUAUGGGUAUUGACCCCCGUGGUGCCGUAGCUAACGCGUUAAGCACUCCGCCUGGGGAGUACGGCCGCAAGGCUAAAACUCAAAGGAAUUGACGGGGGCCCCGCACAAGCGGUGGAGCAUGUGGUUCAAUUCGACGCAACGCGCAGAACCUUACCUGGGUUAAAUCCACUCGAACCUGGCAGAGAUGUCGGGGUGCCCUUCGGGGAACGAGUGAGAAGGUGCUGCAUGGCUGUCGU
Molecule: ribosomal RNA, 266 nt
Filed under: uncultured bacterium
Lineage: Bacteria
Description: partial 16S ribosomal RNA
Rfam family: Bacterial small subunit ribosomal RNA
Source: RNAcentral